Molecule: long non-coding RNA, 200 nt
Filed under: Vigna radiata
Lineage: Eukaryota; Viridiplantae; Streptophyta; Magnoliopsida; Fabales; Fabaceae
Description: long non-coding RNA (VRAD_LNC012628)
Source: RNAcentral
GAUGAGUUACCCCUUAGGAUGUUCUUAAUUAUGUGGCAUAUUUUGAAAUACUCCUUUAUCGUUUAAGUUUUAAAUUUAGAGCAUUCCGGAUGACUAUAAUCCUAUACUUUAUCUGCAUGUCUACUUCUAACUAUUCUAUUAUAUUAAAAUGUGAACUUCUAAAUUAUAUUAUGUUUUAUGUAUAAUUGGGAUGUCACAAU